ACGUAGGAUGCAAGCGUUGUCCGGAUUUACUGGGCGUAAAGCGCGCGCAGGCGGCACAUUGAGUAAGGUGUGAAAUCUCCCGGCUCAACCGGGAGGGUGCACAUUAGACUGAUGAGCUUGAGGUCGGUAGAGGGGGGUGGAAUUGCUGGUGUAGCGGUGAAAUGCGUAGAGAUCAGCAGGAACACCCGUGGCGAAGGCGGCCCCCUGGGCCGUACCUGACGCUGAGGCGCGAAGGCUAGGGGAGCGAACGGGA
This 253-nucleotide ribosomal RNA is filed under the name uncultured prokaryote. Its description in RNAcentral is "partial 16S ribosomal RNA". It matches the Rfam family "Bacterial small subunit ribosomal RNA", at positions 525 to 777 of the family's 1533-position model. The record is from RNAcentral.